GACUUUCUUUCUGUUGUGGCCUGCUCCUCUAGCACUUACUCAUACAGCCCAGCUUGGCACAUGUCCUGCACAAGGUCGAGGGGCUCCUGGGGACCCAGCUGCCUUGGCCUUAUAGCCCCAAGCCACAUGUUGGCCCGGCGCAAGUUUUCUGAAGGCAAUGGAUAGAUCUCUGUUGACUGCAGUUACCUUUGGAUCAGGCCCUUUCAUUCCCAUUAUGAGGAGAGGAGAAAUAAACACCCGAGACUCUAAAAACCACACCAGGUAAGAAGGGAAGAAGGUUUUCUGGGGAAAGGGC
Molecule: long non-coding RNA, 295 nt
Filed under: Struthio camelus australis
Lineage: Eukaryota; Metazoa; Chordata; Aves; Struthioniformes; Struthionidae
Description: lncRNA (ENSSCUG00000012638.1)
Source: RNAcentral